CUAUGUUAAAUCGGGAGAUUAGUGGUCUCUUGUAACCCUAAACCCACUAUAGAGGGGAUGAAAACUUGAGCUGAGGGAUUAACAGGAUUGGAUUGACUUUGGUAAGUGGUGUUGACGGUGCGGUCCUGCGCAAUCGGAACCUGUGAACCAUGUCAGGGCAGGAAUGCAGCAGCAUUAAGCAGUUCUUUUCGAUGUGUUGCAGGGGUGCCGUGCCUGAGCUAACUGCCAGAGUAACAACGAUUUUGUUUAUUUCAAACUCAAGCACAUAG
This 269-nucleotide signal recognition particle RNA is filed under the name Clostridia bacterium. Its description in RNAcentral is "signal recognition particle sRNA large type". It matches the Rfam family "Bacterial large signal recognition particle RNA". From Rfam's summary of the family: The signal recognition particle (SRP) is a universally conserved ribonucleoprotein involved in the co-translational targeting of proteins to membranes. Archaeal SRP consists of a 7S RNA and homologues of the eukaryotic SRP19 and SRP54 proteins. Lineage: Bacteria; Bacillati; Bacillota; Clostridia. The record is from RNAcentral.